CAGCGGGUAGGGCCGGGGGGCUCGGCCUCCCCUGUAGCCGCAAACGGUCGUCAUGGCGGGGCCAGUAACCCGAGGGGCGAUAGCCCAGAGCAACACGAAACCCCCGUAGAGGCAAUGAAGCCUCGCCUCGCGGGGACGUUGUAGCAGGCCUAGCUUCCUCGGAAGAGGAAGCGGGCUUGCUAACCAGGCGAACCGGGUUAGGCCCGGAAGGGAGCGGCCCUAAGCCUGGACAGCGCCGUUCGCGAGUAAACGGGGCAGAUGCUAAGCGGGGGAGGUAGUGUUGCGGAGGGCUAUCCACCCGAGGGAGCCGCUG
Molecule: signal recognition particle RNA, 313 nt
Rfam family: Archaeal signal recognition particle RNA